RNAcentral lists this ribosomal RNA (255 nucleotides) under uncultured bacterium. RNAcentral describes it as "partial 16S ribosomal RNA". It matches the Rfam family "Bacterial small subunit ribosomal RNA", at positions 524 to 776 of the family's 1533-position model. The record is from RNAcentral.
UACGUAGGUGGCUAGCGUUGUCCGGAAUUAUUGGGCGUAAAGAGCUCGUAGGCGGUCUGUCGCGUCGGCUGUGAAAUCCCGAGGCUCAACCUCGGGUCUGCAGUCGAUACGGGCAAACUAGAGUAUUGCAGGGGAGACUGGAAUUCCUGGUGUAGCGGUGAAAUUCGUAGAUAUCAGGAGGAACACCAGUGGCGAAGGCGGCUUUCUGGACGGUAACUGACGCUGGAGAACGCGAAAGCGUGGGGAGCAAACAGG